GAGGGGAAUAUUGGACAAUGGGCGCAAGCCUGAUCCAGCCAUGCCGCGUGAGUGAUGAAGGCCUUCGGGUUGUAAAGCUCUUUAGCCGAUGAUUAUAAUGACUGUAGUCGGAAAAUAAGCCCCGGCUAACUUCGUGCCAGCAGCCGCGGUAAUACGAAGGGGGCGAGCGUUAUUCGGAAUCACUGGGCGUAAAGCGUGCGUAGGCGGCUUUGCAAGUUGGGAGUGAAAGCCCAGGGCUCAACCCUGGAAUUGCUCUCAAAACUGCAAGGCUCGAAUUCGGGAGAGGAUAGCGGAAUUGUCAGUGUAGCAGUGAAAUGCGUAGAUAUUGACAGGAACACCAGUGGCGUAAGCGGCUAUCUGGACCGAUAUUGACGCUGAGGCACGAAAGCGUGGGGAUCAAACAGGAUUAGAAACCCGGGUAGUCC
This 425-nucleotide ribosomal RNA is filed under the name uncultured bacterium. RNAcentral describes it as "partial 16S ribosomal RNA". It matches the Rfam family "Bacterial small subunit ribosomal RNA", at positions 354 to 796 of the family's 1533-position model. The record is from RNAcentral.